ACGAACGCUGGCGGCGUGCUUAACACAUGCAAGUCGAACGGAAAGGCCCUGCUUGCAGGGUACUCGAGUGGCGAACGGGUGAGUAACACGUGGGUGAUCUGCCCUGCACUUCGGGAUAAGCCUGGGAAACUGGGUCUAAUACCGGAUAGGAGCCAUUUUUAGUGUGAUGGUUGGAAAGUUUUUUCGGUGUAGGAUGAGCUCGCGGCCUAUCAGCUUGUUGGUGGGGUAGUGGCCUACCAAGGCGGUGACGGGUAGCCGGCCUGAGAGGGUGGACGGCCACAUUGGGACUGAGAGACGGCCCAGACUCCUACGGGAGGCAGCAGUGGGGAAUAUUGCACAAUGGGCGCAAGCCUGAUGCAGCGACGCCGCGUGGGGGAUGACGGCCUUCGGGUUGUAAACUCCUUUCGCUAGGGACGAAGCUUUUUGUGACGGUACCUAGAUAAGAAGCACCGGCUAACUACGUG
RNAcentral lists this ribosomal RNA (464 nucleotides) under uncultured bacterium. RNAcentral's name for it is "partial 16S ribosomal RNA". It matches the Rfam family "Bacterial small subunit ribosomal RNA", at positions 29 to 507 of the family's 1533-position model. The record is from RNAcentral.